RNAcentral lists this ribosomal RNA (253 nucleotides) under uncultured bacterium. Its description in RNAcentral is "partial 16S ribosomal RNA". It matches the Rfam family "Bacterial small subunit ribosomal RNA", at positions 524 to 776 of the family's 1533-position model. The record is from RNAcentral.
UACGUAGGCAGCAAGCGUUGUUCGGAAUUACUGGGCGUAAAGCGCGCGUAGGCGGCUUUGUAAGUUAGCGGUGAAAGCCCGGAGCUCAACUCCGGAAUUGCCUUUAAGACUGCAUCGCUAGAAUCAUGGAGAGGUUAGUGGAAUUCCGAGUGUAGAGGUGAAAUUCGUAGAUAUUCGGAAGAACACCAGUGGCGAAGGCGACUAACUGGACAUGUAUUGACGCUGAGGUGCGAAAGCGUGGGGAGCAAACAGG